Aotus nancymaae (Ma's night monkey) is the source of this 107-nucleotide small nuclear RNA. The record is from Ensembl. NCBI's taxonomy places the organism in Eukaryota, Metazoa, Chordata, Mammalia, Primates, Aotidae.
AUGCUCACUUUGGCAGCACAUAUACUAAAACUAGAGCAAUACAGAGGAGAUUAACAUGGUCUCUGGGCCAGGAUGACAUGCAAAUCCAUGAAGCAAUAGAAAAAUAA